RNAcentral lists this ribosomal RNA (483 nucleotides) under uncultured bacterium. RNAcentral describes it as "partial 16S ribosomal RNA". It matches the Rfam family "Bacterial small subunit ribosomal RNA", at positions 30 to 507 of the family's 1533-position model. The record is from RNAcentral.
AUUGAACGCUGGCGGCAGGCCUAACACAUGCAAGUCGAGCGGAUGAAGGGAGCUUGCUCCUGGAUUCAGCGGCGGACGGGUGAGUAAUGCCUAGGAAUCUGCCUGGUAGUGGGGGAUAACGUCCGGAAACGGGCGCUAAUACCGCAUACGUCCUGAGGGAGAAAGUGGGGGAUCUUCGGACCUCACGCUAUCAGAUGAGCCUAGGUCGGAUUAGCUAGUUGGUGGGGUAAAGGCCUACCAAGGCGACGAUCCGUAACUGGUCUGAGAGGAUGAUCAGUCACACUGGAACUGAGACACGGUCCAGACUCCGACGGGAGGCAGCAGUGGGGAAUAUUGGACAAUGGGCGAAAGCCUGAUCCAGCCAUGCCGCGUGUGUGAAGAAGGUCUUCGGAUUGUAAAGCACUUUAAGUUGGGAGGAAGGGCAGUAAGUUAAUACCUGGCUGUUUUGACGUUACCAACAGAAUAGCACCGGCUAACUUCGUG